Molecule: ribosomal RNA, 52 nt
Filed under: Fulvia fulva
Lineage: Eukaryota; Fungi; Ascomycota; Dothideomycetes; Mycosphaerellales; Mycosphaerellaceae
Description: Passalora fulva partial 18S ribosomal RNA
Source: RNAcentral
UUCGGACUUGGCUAGGGAGGUCGGCAACGACCACCCAGGGCCGGAAAGUUGG